RNAcentral lists this transfer RNA (82 nucleotides) under Armatimonadota bacterium. Its description in RNAcentral is "tRNA-Tyr". It matches the Rfam family "tRNA". From Rfam's summary of the family: Transfer RNA (tRNA) molecules are approximately 80 nucleotides in length. Their secondary structure includes four short double-helical elements and three loops (D, anti-codon, and T loops). Further hydrogen bonds mediate the characteristic L-shaped molecular structure. tRNAs have two regions of fundamental functional importance: the anti-codon, which is responsible for specific mRNA codon recognition, and the 3' end, to which the tRNAs corresponding amino acid is attached (by aminoacyl-tRNA synthetases). tRNAs cope with the degeneracy of the genetic code in two manners: having more than one tRNA (with a specific anti-codon) for a particular amino acid; and 'wobble' base-pairing, i.e. permitting non-standard base-pairing at the 3rd anti-codon position. Lineage: Bacteria; Bacillati; Armatimonadota. The record is from RNAcentral.
GGGAGCGCGGUGACGCGGGAGAGUCACGUCUGUCUGUAAAACAGAAGCAUUUGCUGAGCGGGUUCGAAUCCCUCCGCUCCCA